AUGCGGGGCAGAGUAACUUCUAAUCCAGAGAUGAGGCCCAUGCCUGGAGCUGAGGCCAGAUGUGGAAGGCUCACAGGAUCCACAAGGGAGCUACUUGUGCAGGGCUCACUCUCGACUCCUUCCCACGGCUCCACAAACCAACGUGUCCAACUCAGCUUUCCAGGGCUUCAUUACAAGGUAAGCCCUCUGCUGCAUAGACGCUCAAUGCUAAAGGGCAGUCAAGUGACCCAAGGCACUAACCACGUCGUUCGCAUGUGUAGUAAAGCUCCAGCCCGCUAGAGACUCACAAACCUCUUGUUCCCUCCUUAACAAAGAGAAGUGCAGUCACAGUGCUUAAAGCCAGUAGCUUUUGGCAGCAGUCAUACAUGGGGCCCUGGAGCCAGCAGCAAGGACAGAAGGACACCACCGGCACAGCCAAAGGCCAGAUCUGUUGUUGUUGUUGUUGUUUAGUUGCUAAGUUGUAUCUGAUGCUUUUGCGACUCUAUGAACUGUAGCCCACCAGGCUACUCCAUCCAUAGGAUUUCCCAGGCAAGAAUACUGGAGUAGGUUGCCAUUUCCUUCUCCAGGGGAUCUUCCCAACCCAUUGAUCAAACCCACAUCUCUUAUGUCUCCUGCCUUGACAGGCGGAUUCUUCACUGCUGAGCCACCAGGGAAGCCCCACGUCAGGUCUGGGAGAAGGGAAAAGAGCAAGAAAGACUUGGUGCAGCUGCAGCAGGAGAGAGAAAGAGGCAGGGAACUGUUUACUAGGGGAAGAAAGAGAACCAGGAGAGACUCAGGAUGCUCAGCUGGUGGAAAGGAGAAACUGACCCUGGAUCCCAGGGACAGGCAAACCGUGAAAG
Molecule: long non-coding RNA, 839 nt
Filed under: Bos grunniens (domestic yak)
Lineage: Eukaryota; Metazoa; Chordata; Mammalia; Artiodactyla; Bovidae
Description: lncRNA (ENSBGRG00000017652.1)
Source: RNAcentral